Schistosoma haematobium is the source of this 45-nucleotide non-coding RNA. NCBI's taxonomy places the organism in Eukaryota, Metazoa, Platyhelminthes, Trematoda, Strigeidida, Schistosomatidae. The record is from Rfam.
AUUCAGGUGACGAGUCCCAAAUAGGACGAAACGUGCUUCCUGGAU